Molecule: ribosomal RNA, 476 nt
Filed under: uncultured bacterium
Lineage: Bacteria
Description: bacterial SSU rRNA
Rfam family: Bacterial small subunit ribosomal RNA
Source: RNAcentral
AACGAACGCUGGCGGCGUGCUUAACACAUGCAAGUCGAACGCGAAAGGGACUUCGGUCCUGAGUAAAGUGGCGCACGGGUGAGUAACGCGUAGAUAACCUGUCUUUAUGUCUGGAAUAAUACGCCGAAAGGGGUACUAAUACCGGAUAUUUUUGCAUUGCACAAGUGAUGUAAGCAAAGGUGGCCUCUGGCAUAAGCUACUGCAUAAAGAGGGGUCUGCGUACCAUUAGCUAGUAGGUGGGGUAAAGGCCUACCUAGGCUACGAUGGUUAGCGGGUCUGAGAGGAUGAUCCGCCACACUGGCACUGGAACACGGGCCAGACUCCUACGGGAGGCAGCAGUGGGGAAUAUUGGGCAAUGGGCGCAAGCCUGACCCAGCCAUGCCGCGUGAGUGACGAAGGCCUUAGGGUUGUAAACCUCUGUUGUGGGGAAGAAGCGAGUGACGGUACCUCACGAGGAAGCCCCGGCAAACUACGUG